RNAcentral lists this ribosomal RNA (450 nucleotides) under uncultured bacterium. RNAcentral describes it as "partial 16S ribosomal RNA". It matches the Rfam family "Bacterial small subunit ribosomal RNA", at positions 354 to 796 of the family's 1533-position model. The record is from RNAcentral.
GUGGGGAAUUUUGGACAAUGGGCGCAAGCCUGAUCCAGCAAUGCCGAGUGCAGGAAGAAGGCCUUCGGGUUGUAAACUGCUUUUGUACGGAACGAAACGGUCCGGGUUAAUACCCUGGGCUAAUGACGGUACCGUAAGAAUAAGCACCGGCUAACUACGUGCCAGCAGCCGCGGUAAUACGUAGGGUGCAAGCGUUAAUCGGAAUUACUGGGCGUAAAGCGUGCGCAGGCGGUUUUGUAAGACAGGCGUGAAAUCCCCGGGCUCAACCUGGGAAUUGCGCUUGUGACUGCAAGGCUGGAGUGCGGCAGAGGGGGAUGGAAUUCCGCGUGUAGCAGUGAAAUGCGUAGAUAUGCGGAGGAACACCGAUGGCGAAGGCAAUCCCCUGGGCCUGCACUGACGCUCAUGCACGAAAGCGUGGGGAGCAAACAGGAUUAGAUACCCUGGUAGUCC